Molecule: RNA transcript, 4564 nt
Organism: Octodon degus (degu)
Lineage: Eukaryota; Metazoa; Chordata; Mammalia; Rodentia; Octodontidae
Gene: Kcnc3
Gene name: potassium voltage-gated channel subfamily C member 3
Exons: 6
Source: RefSeq, a predicted model, not a curated record
CUUGAAGCCCCCGGGUUAGGGGGAGCGGGACAGCCCCUCCUCCGGCGGUGAUGUCAUUGCCCCUCCGCAGCUUCUCGCUGUCCACGGCUGCCGGGGCUGGGUCACCCUUACCCCAUCGCCAGACCCCGGAUUCCCCCCAAUCUGCCUCUCCUCGACCAGGGUAUGUGGCCUUCGCCUCACUCUUCUUCAUCCUCAUUUCCAUCACCACCUUCUGCCUGGAGACCCACGAAGGCUUCAUCCACAUCAGCAACAAGACAGUGACGCAGGCCUCCCCCAUCCCUGGGGCCCCGCCUGAGAAUAUCACCAACGUGGAGGUGGAGACAGAGCCUUUCCUGACCUACGUGGAGGGCGUGUGUGUGGUCUGGUUCACCUUUGAGUUCCUCAUGCGAAUCACCUUCUGCCCGGACAAGGUGGAGUUUCUCAAGAGCAGCCUCAACAUCAUCGACUGUGUCGCCAUUUUGCCCUUCUACCUGGAGGUGGGCCUCUCGGGCCUCAGCUCCAAGGCCGCCAAGGACGUGCUGGGCUUUUUGCGUGUCGUCCGCUUUGUCCGAAUCCUGCGCAUCUUUAAGCUGACCCGUCACUUUGUGGGGCUGCGGGUGCUGGGCCACACACUCCGUGCCAGCACCAAUGAGUUCCUGCUGCUUAUCAUCUUCCUGGCCCUGGGGGUGCUCAUCUUUGCCACCAUGAUUUAUUAUGCUGAGCGCAUUGGCGCUGACCCUGAUGACAUCCUGGGAUCCAACCACACCUACUUCAAGAACAUCCCCAUUGGCUUCUGGUGGGCUGUGGUCACCAUGACGACCCUGGGCUAUGGAGACAUGUACCCCAAGACCUGGUCUGGGAUGCUAGUUGGGGCGUUGUGUGCCCUGGCGGGGGUGCUGACCAUCGCCAUGCCUGUUCCUGUCAUUGUCAACAACUUUGGCAUGUACUAUUCGCUGGCCAUGGCCAAACAGAAGUUGCCCAAGAAGAAAAACAAACACAUCCCCCGGCCCCCCCAGCCUGGCUCGCCCAACUACUGCAAGCCUGACCCACCCCCACCUCCCCCACCCCAUCCUCACCACGGCAGCGGUGGCAUCAGCCCUCCACCACCCAUCACUCCCCCCUCCAUGGGGGUGACUGUGGCCGGGGCCUACCCGCCUGGGCCCCACACGCACCCCGGGCUGCUCAGGGGAGGUGCAGGGGGACUGGGGAUCAUGGGGCUGCCUCCUCUGCCGGCCCCUGGUGAGCCCUGCCCACUGGCUCAGGAGGAAGUGGUUGAAAUCAACAGGGCAGAUCCCCGCCCCAAUGGUGACCCUGCUGCUGCUGCACUGGCCCACGAGGACUGCCCUGCCAUUGACCAGCCCGCCAUGUCACCUGAGGACAAGAGUCCCAUCACCCCUGGAAGUCGGGGCCGCUAUAGCCGGGACCGCGCCUGCUUCCUCCUCACUGACUACGCCCCUUCCCCUGACGGCUCCAUCCGAAAAGCCACUGGUGCUCCCCCACUACUCCCCCAAGACUGGCGUAAGCCAGGCCCCCCAAGCUUCUUGCCCGACCUCAACGCCAACGCUGCGGCCUGGAUAUCCCCCUAGUGGACGAAUCCCCUUCCCCCGGGAUCUCACUUAAGUUGCCCAGGCUGAGGUUGGACUCAAUCCUGCUUCAGCCUCCCCCCAACUAGGAUUGCAGACUGUGCCGCCAUUCCCCGUAGCAAUGAGGACCCAGCUCCAGGCGGUGGAGACCUGUGGGCAGAUGUUCAGCUUUACAUCUAGAGCACAGCUCUUGUCACCGCCUGAGACCUCGCGAGACCCUCGGGUCCCCCCUGCCCCUUUCCCCCAGGUUAGCAAUUGGGAAUGGUGGGGAGGGGGUGUCCCCCAGAUAGCAGGCUUCAGUCCCCAAGGCCCUCUAUCCUCCAGUCAGGACCCCCACCUCCAGACAGCCCAUCGGCUCUGCCUGGUCGCAGACCUCCAGCUGUACCCCUAGGGCCUUCCCUUCCCGCAGGUGCCCAUCUGCGGUCCCACACCUCCCGUCACUACCCGGACGUUUCCCCGGAUGCUCCUGGACCCUGGACCCCUAGCCUCAGCCUGAGCCUCGCCCCUCCCUCUGCCCUUGGAGUCCGCCUCCGACUCCCCAAGGGCGCCGCCCCCUGCUUUGGCUCCAUCUAGCCCUCCCCUCCUGUCCCUCGGACAGGUGGCCCCCAGCCCUGCUGCUGCCGCCUCAGCUGGCCCCCCAGGCCUCUCCUCCGGCUGCUCCCUACUUGCAUUCAACCCAGCCCCUCCUCACGACCCUGCCGCCCACCAUCCCGCCUUGCUGCCCCCCACCUUUGGCCUCAGACCAGGGGACCACGAGGGUGGGUUGGAGAGGGGAGGGGGGAGGGGCGGAGGCUCGGUGGGCGCCGCCCGCCUCCUAAUCCGGAGUCUCUCCCCCCCCUGUGUCUGCACCUUCCUCGUGGACGCUGACUGACUCUGCGAUUUGUUCACUUCUCUCUCUCCAUCUCCUCGGUCCGCUCCACCCAUCUCUGCCCCUUGCCUGUCUUUUUGUGUCUCCCUCCCUGUCUGUCCCUGUCUCUGUCUCUAACUGUCCCCCACUGCCUUCGUCUCUGGGUGUCUCUCGCCCUCUCCAUCUCUCCUCCCUGUCUUGGGGUCCCUCCGCGGGACCCUCUCCGCACCCCAUCUCCAUGCUUUUUCCCCAUGUUUCUGCCCCUCCCCAGGUUACGAGAAAUCCCGCAGCCUGAGCAGCAUCGCGGGCCUGAGCGGGGUGUCCCUGCGCCUCGCGCCCCUUGCCACUCCCCCUGGCUCUCCUCGGGCCACCCGCCGCGCCCCUCCAACCCUGCCCUCCAUCCUCUAGCGCUCCCCUCCCCCCUGUGGGGGGACUCGGGGGUGACCCGGAAGGUGAAAGGAGCUAGGGGUGGGGUGGAGGGGAGAAAGGUAUUUUUUUUAAAAAAUCAAAAAGUCAUUAAUAUGCAACCGAGAUGAUGAAGCCAGCAGACACCCCCGGGCCCCUCGCCCCCUCACCUGGGCCCCCAGGAUGGAAGGGGAGGGGCCAGAUCCCAUCCCCCAACUCACUUCCCCACAAAAAGCCUUCUCAGGUCUCCAUGAGCCAUAGGACACCCUCCCCCAUCGAGUCGUGUAAAUAAGUCCAAACGACACCAAAUCCAUCUUGGGGCACCUAUCCCCCCCCACUAUGCAUGCUCAGCCGGACCCCUGCUCCCCAGCCACCUCAGCAAUAAGCCGCCAGGGGCUGCAUGCCGCAAGUUGGAGGGGAGGGGGCCCCCAGAAGCUCUAGGGGUUGGGCAGGUCUUCGAGCCACACGGGGUCCUCUGGCUUCUGGCCCUUCCCUCCAGGGAAACUACCCCCCCCACACACACACACUUUUGAAAAGGAGACCAGCUAGGGACUAGAAGCUGGGGUGUCCACGCUUGGCUGAGGCACAUGGUGGGUUGCCCAGCGGGGGCCCCCAGCCUUCCGGAAGAUCCCGUUGGUGAUCCUCCUCCCUCCAGGGAGCUGCUCGCCUCUGUGCCAGGUGCAUGGACUCAGACCUCCCAACCCCAGAGUUACUGGGAAGAUCUGGCCACCACAAAAUCCCGGCCCGCCCCGCCCCGACCCCCCCAGGACAUGAGACCCGCAUCUGGAAUUCCUGAGAGGGCCCUGGCACCCCGCACCCCCAAAUCUCCACACACUUCCAGGAUGUAGCCUCUGCAAACAGAGCCUUGCCUGCCCCUCCCCCUCUCCCUGGACUGCAUCCCAGCACUUCAGAGCUCCAAGCUUCAGCUCAGCCCAGCCUUUGGGAUGCUCCAGGUCGUUCCCACAAUUUCAAAAUCUGGACAGCCCCAGAUCCUCAGGCCUGCCUCCCAAACACUCCCAAGUUUCCCAAAGAUCACCAGACUCAUUCAUCCCAGAUCCCCUGAUGCUAGAACUUCCAAGGCAGGCUCUGCCUGUCUGCAAUUCCAGGGAGCCAGACCCCGGCACUCCUUCCUUCCUCUCUAGCCCUGGCCACAAAUCCCUUCCCUGAGAUGGUGCCCAAAGGUACUUUCUUUGUGGCCACCAGUUUCCUGGAGUAUCGCACUGGUGCCCUUGCUGGUGGGACAAGGUUGUAGGCCGUCCAAGGACGAGCACCUGUUUGAAAAGUCUCCUCUUGGACGCGCACAUGUUGCGCAUCUAACUGGUGAGUCCGGGAGCGCUCCUGGUCGAGGCGUCCUCAUUAAGGUUCCAUUUGAGGCAGUCCCAAAAUGGUCGCAGAGGCUGCGGCCGGCUGGAAAGUCGGCUUGGGAAACCCGGGACAGGGGCUGGCGCUCCUCAGGGGCCGCCACCCUCUCCUGUGGAAAGCCGUCCCUCAUACCCCACCCAGGCUCAAGGAUGCGCUACCUCCCCCUGGCCCAGAGACCUCGCUGGUCCCAGAAUCCUUCGCGGACCCCCCUUUUGGAGCUGGGGGCCCGUGGAAUCAGCACCCUCCCUCCCUCUGCUCCCACGGCCUCAGGGACACCCUCACGCCCACCCAAGGGUAGGUGAGGGGCGUCACUGAGCACGAUUCUCGAUGCAACGAUUCCUAUGCAAGGGGCAUUUUGAGUCCCCCCAGCCUCCUCUCGGCCCCUAAG